CCUACGGGGGGCAGCAGUGAGGAAUAUUGGUCAAUGGACGAGAGUCUGAACCAGCCAAGUAGCGUGAAGGAUGACUGCCCUAUGGGUUGUAAACUUCUUUUAUAUGGGAAUAAAAUGUUCCACGUGUGGGAUUUUGUAUGUACCAUAUGAAUAAGGAUCGGCUAACUCCGUGCCAGCAGCCGCGGUAAUACGGAGGAUCCGAGCGUUAUCCGGAUUUAUUGGGUUUAAAGGGAGCGUAGGUGGAUUGUUAAGUCAGUUGUGAAAGUUUGCGGCUCAACCGUAAAAUUGCAGUUGAAACUGGCAGUCUUGAGUACAGUAGAGGUGGGCGGAAUUCGUGGUGUAGCGGUGAAAUGCUUAGAUAUCACGAAGAACUCCGAUGGCGAAGGCAGUUCACUGGACUGCAACUGACACUGAGGCGCGAAAGUGUGGGUAUCAAACAGGAUUAGAUACCCUAGUAGUC
RNAcentral lists this ribosomal RNA (460 nucleotides) under uncultured bacterium. RNAcentral's name for it is "partial 16S ribosomal RNA". It matches the Rfam family "Bacterial small subunit ribosomal RNA", at positions 338 to 795 of the family's 1533-position model. The record is from RNAcentral.